GUCUAUGGUCAUACCACCCUGAAUACUCCCAAACUUGUCUGAUCUCGGAAGCUAAGAAAGUUCAGGCCUGGUUAGUACUUAGAUGGGAGAAGGUCUUCAAUGAAGUAGUAAGAAUUAUUAUUA
Panthera pardus (leopard) is the source of this 123-nucleotide ribosomal RNA. NCBI's taxonomy places the organism in Eukaryota, Metazoa, Chordata, Mammalia, Carnivora, Felidae. The record is from Ensembl.